CACUGGGAUCAUCUCAGCAGAG
This 22-nucleotide microRNA is filed under the name Gallus gallus (chicken). Its description in RNAcentral is "gga-miR-7458-3p". The record is from miRBase by way of RNAcentral. Lineage: Eukaryota; Metazoa; Chordata; Aves; Galliformes; Phasianidae.